GAAUCUCCCAAAGCUUCCACAACCCUUGUUGACUCCGCAUCAGCGAAUGAUUUUAAUGGCGUAUGAUUUAUCAUUCGAGUUCAAGAGUUUAGAAAUGGAUCCAGAGGUUGUGGGCAAGAAAGACAUGAUAGUGACAAUUGAACGGGAAGAUUUGGUUCGACUUCUGUCAAAUAAUCAGCUUACCACACCACACAUUGAACUAUUUAUGAUGUAUCUUCAUCAUUUGUGCAUUACAUCGGGCAAAGGUGAUAAGUUUGGAUUCCUUUGCCCUCAUCACAUGACAGAGAAAGGUAAUACUCCAGAGUUAAGGGCCGCGUACCUCCAAUAGAGAAUAUGUGAAGUCAAAAAGGACGUUUUUAUGGCUCCAUAUGUGCACUCGGACCAUUGGCAGUUAUUUGUUCUUUCAAUGAAGAGCAACACUGUCGUCUUUUUAUGCUCCCUCCAUUACAAACUUGGGAAAGAAAUGAAGAAGACGAUAGACUUGGCAAUGAGAACAUAUCAAAAUGUAGUCUUACAAAAGCAUGGACAUGAGCUCAAGGAUCCCACAUGGAUUGAGCCAAAGAGUCAUAGACAACCGGUGAGGACGAACUUGUGCGGUCUAUAUGUCAUGAGGCACAUGCUCAAUAUUAUCACAUUAGGCAUGACCGAAUUUACAAAAGAGGUAAAUAUAUAUAUUUUUAAAAAUUUUAUUU
Molecule: long non-coding RNA, 692 nt
Organism: Prosopis cineraria
Lineage: Eukaryota; Viridiplantae; Streptophyta; Magnoliopsida; Fabales; Fabaceae
Exons: 5
Source: RefSeq, a predicted model, not a curated record